GAUCGCGCUGGGCGCCGGCAGCAGUGCCACCGCCAACAAUGCGGUAGCGCUGGGGGCCGGUUCGGUCGCCAGCCGCGAGCGC
This 82-nucleotide transfer RNA is filed under the name Stenotrophomonas maltophilia. RNAcentral's name for it is "tRNA-Cys". Lineage: Bacteria; Pseudomonadati; Pseudomonadota; Gammaproteobacteria; Lysobacterales; Lysobacteraceae. The record is from RNAcentral.